UCUAUUGAUUUCAGGGUUUGUGCUUCUAAUCCUCAUUGUUUUGAUUUUCAAUUUUAGGUUUUGCCAUCAAAAAACAUGUCUUAUUGCUUAUUUCUGACCACUGUGAAUCGUAUCCCUUGCAAGCUUAUUAUAAGAGUAUUUGAAAGAAGAAAACACUCAGAUCCUGCAACAACAAACAAAUUACAUGAGUUUCAAUUUUUCAAUCUCUUCUUAUUGUUGAUUUAAGGAUUGCAAUCAUGGUGUUUGGAACAAACUUCAUAGGUAAAGCAAACUGGAAGCCCUUACUUUCGGUCAACAAAAUGAUGCAAACACUCUAACAUUUUCUCAAUAUGAUGCAAUUGUUGCUGAACCUGAACAAGAACCAAAAUCAUAUGGAAACUCACCACUUCCCUUAGCUGUAGAUAGAACAAGAAGAAAAGAUCCUUUAGAUGGCUUCAUUGUAUACACUAAUGAAUGGAAUAUAAGUGACCACCAUUAUUGUGUUGUAAGUAAC
Molecule: long non-coding RNA, 493 nt
Organism: Vicia villosa (hairy vetch)
Lineage: Eukaryota; Viridiplantae; Streptophyta; Magnoliopsida; Fabales; Fabaceae
Exons: 4
Source: RefSeq, a predicted model, not a curated record